This 67-nucleotide transfer RNA is filed under the name Rhinolophus ferrumequinum (greater horseshoe bat). It matches the Rfam family "tRNA". From Rfam's summary of the family: Transfer RNA (tRNA) molecules are approximately 80 nucleotides in length. Their secondary structure includes four short double-helical elements and three loops (D, anti-codon, and T loops). Lineage: Eukaryota; Metazoa; Chordata; Mammalia; Chiroptera; Rhinolophidae. The record is from Rfam by way of RNAcentral. RNAcentral also lists the same sequence under 3 other names.
GGUAAAAUGGCCGAGUAGGCAUUAGGCUGUAAAUCUAAGUACAGGGGUUUAAGUCCCCUUUUUACCA